This 103-nucleotide small nuclear RNA is filed under the name Notamacropus eugenii (tammar wallaby). Lineage: Eukaryota; Metazoa; Chordata; Mammalia; Diprotodontia; Macropodidae. The record is from RNAcentral.
GUGCUUGCUUUGAUGGUACACAUAUUAAAAUUGGACCAAUACAAAGAGUAACAUGGCCCUGCACAAGGGUGACACACAAAUUCUUGAAGCAUUUCAUUUUUUU